UCCGAUAACGAACGAGACUCUGGCUUGCUAAAUAGUUUUCCUACCCGACGUGGUAUGGGAUGAAUGAACUUCUUAGAGGGACAAGUGGCUCAUAGCCACAUGAAAAAGAGCAAUAACAGGUCUGUGAUGCCCUUAGAUGUCCGGGGCCGCACGCGCGCUACACUGGAGAGAGCAGCGGGUCCUAUCCCAGACCGAAAGGCCCAGGGUAAUCCGCUGAACCCUCUCCGUGCUGGGGAUAGGGACUUGAAAUUAUGUCCCUUGAACGAGGAAUUCCUAGUAAGCGCGAGUCAUCAGCUCGCGUUGAUU
RNAcentral lists this ribosomal RNA (306 nucleotides) under Synaptidae sp. RG-2014. RNAcentral describes it as "SSU rRNA". It matches the Rfam family "Eukaryotic small subunit ribosomal RNA", at positions 1324 to 1646 of the family's 1831-position model. The record is from RNAcentral. Lineage: Eukaryota; Metazoa; Echinodermata; Holothuroidea; Apodida; Synaptidae.